GUGAGGAAUAUUGGACAAUGGGCGCAAGCCUGAUCCAGCCAUGCCGCGUGCAGGAAGACGCAUCUAUGGUGUGUAAACUGCUUUUGUACGGGAAGAAACACUCCCUCGUGAGGGAGCUUGACGGUACCGUAAGAAUAAGGAUCGGCUAACUCCGUGCCAGCAGCCGCGGUAAUACGGAGGAUCCAAGCGUUAUCCGGAAUCAUUGGGUUUAAAGGGUCCGUAGGCGGUUUAAUAAGUCAGUGGUGAAAGCCCAUCGCUCAACGAUGGAACGGCCAUUGAUACUGUUAGACUUGAAUUACAAGGAAGUAACUAGAAUAUGUAGUGUAGCGGUGAAAUGCUUAGAUAUUACAUGGAAUACCAAUUGCGAAGGCAGCCAUCUGGCCUAAUACUGACACUGAGGUGCGAAAGCAUGGGGAGCAAACAGGAUUAGAAACCCUAGUAGUCC
RNAcentral lists this ribosomal RNA (445 nucleotides) under uncultured bacterium. Its description in RNAcentral is "partial 16S ribosomal RNA". It matches the Rfam family "Bacterial small subunit ribosomal RNA", at positions 354 to 796 of the family's 1533-position model. The record is from RNAcentral.